AGUGAACGCUGGCGGUAGGCCUAACACAUGCAAGUCGAACGGCAGCACAGUAAGAGCUUGCUCUUACGGGUGGCGAGUGGCGGACGGGUGAGGAAUACAUCGGAAUCUACUUUUUCGUGGGGGAUAACGUAGGGAAACUUGCGCUAAUACCGCAUACGACCUACGGGUGAAAGCAGGGGAUCUUCUGACCUUGCGCGAUUGAAUGAGCCGAUGUCGGAUUAGCUAGUUGGCGGGGUAAAGGCCCACCAAGGCGACGAUCCGUAGCUGGUCUGAGAAGAUGAUCAGCCACACUGGAACUGAGACACGGUCCAGACUCCUACGGGAGGCAGCAGUGGGGAAUAUUGGACAAUGGGCGCAAGCCUGAUCCAGCCAUACCGCGUGGGUGAAGAAGGCCUUCGGGUUGUAAAGCCCUUUUGUUGGGAAAGAAAAGCAGCAGGUUAAUACCCCGCUGUUCUGACGGUACCCAAAGAAUAAGCACCGGCUAACUUCGUG
This 492-nucleotide ribosomal RNA is filed under the name uncultured bacterium. Its description in RNAcentral is "partial 16S ribosomal RNA". It matches the Rfam family "Bacterial small subunit ribosomal RNA", at positions 29 to 507 of the family's 1533-position model. The record is from RNAcentral.